AACAAAAAUAUCUGUGCUCAUCACUCAAAUAAGUAAAUGCCCUUACCGGGAUUCGAACCCAGGUCCAUCGGCUUCAUAGGCAGGGUCACUAGCCACUAGGCCGGGCCGGUCGUCAAAUACUACUAAUACUUAUUCAUUGUAAUGUUCUUUUUUCGCCAAGAUGUAAAAAUAAAUAGGUAACGUGUCGUGUGCAGAAAACGCAAGAAACAACUUUUUUCCUUAUAAUUUGACUGAGGAAGUUCCCAUCCCAAUUCAUUCUUUCUUAAUUUCGAAUGUAUUACCGCCGAAAAAGUGUUAAUAAUUAAAUAUGUUUUUACACAAAUAUGACCCAGUGAAGGUUCAAUUGCCGUAAUUGUGUGCCAUAGAUACGACACUAUAGACUCGUCUGGUGACGAAGCACUUACUUUUUAACGUACAGCAAGCUAGGUUAGAGUCUGUGCGGAAAGAGAAGAGUCGUGGAAUGUAUGGGGCCCAAUACAUUCCACGACUCUUCUCUUUCCGAACAGACUCUAACAGCGGUUUUUGUUUACGGCAAGGGUUCUACCGCUCACCUAGUAUUUUAAUUACAAGUUAGUUCUGAGGAAAGGUUGUUCCUAGUACUCUAACUAACCUCAGUAAUACCUCAGAAUAACGAAUAUUAAGACGGGUACGUUGUCAUAGAUCUGAUUACUCAUUAAAGUUACAUUUAUGUUCGUAAUGCUAAGGACGGGGGAGCUCAGUACUCUCACUAAAUUAGUGUACCAUUAUGAAACCCAUGACGGCGGCACGCCGGCUCUCUUUACCACAUACAAGUCAUAUAACUCUUUAGGGAAUAAUCAGGGACGAUACAAAAGUUACGCGGGAUAUGAUUGUAAUGACAAUCGAAACAAAUAAUUGAUGUAUAGUCUCUUGGGACCAACAGGAAUCACGAAGCGUUGUGGUAGAUACGAAUAUAUGAAUUAUCUAUCAGCACUGGGUAGGAAUUUCUUAUUUAUAAGUACUUACAUAAAGUUAUCACCGCUAUGCGAAAUAACUUUAGCCAGAAAUUAUUUAUAAAUAAAAAUAAAAGUCAUUUAUUUCAGACCUUGGUCCAUACAGUGUUAGUUAUAAUAAGUAGUAAUAUACUUUGCCAGUAUUAGACUAGGUAUCUAAAUAUACCUAUCAUGUAUGUACCUGCAUACUUAGAUAUGUUUGUAUUAGUUAGGUAUAGGUGCUUACUUUGUAAUUAUGGGCAAUUCGCAUCCAUACUGCUAGCUUACAAGCUUUUCAUUCGCAUUACUAACUGAUAAAUUUCCCUACGUACCUAUCUGCACUCUUCAUUCAUCAAUAGCUGGCGCGGACUCGUGCCAACACAGAUAUGGCAGUGCCAAUAUCGCAGUUCUUUGUAUCGCGCAGGUAUUCUAUUCACGGCGACUGCUCCGUACGAUAUCGAAUCCAGCCCUUUCAAUCCGGAGGUAAUGCCUGCCAACAAAGAGCCACGACUACCAUUUGCUCAAUGGAAAUACCAUUUGGCUCUGAAAUACACUGUAGGUGAUUAUUCACAUUCUCGAUUUAAGCUUUUUAGCUUGUUUUCUAUGAGUUCUAGAAUGACAGUACAUUUAUAACAGCUAAUGGUGGAAUCGUUAUAUUAGGUAAGUACUUACAAAAAUAUUAUUUAUUUCUCACCUAAGAAAUGCAUUUCUAGAUGAAAAAUCAUAGCACCUGCAAAAGUGUAAUAGCAAAGAAAUAUGUAAAAUUAGUAAAACUUGGUAACCAGAAAUAAAAUGGCACAUAUUAUAAUUAAAUAUGAAGGUACAAAACAGGUACAAAAAUUUGGUUUUUAUGGAAUUUAUCAAUAAUCGUCGGGAUCGCCGCGUAAUAAAGUACAUCCGCCAUUUCUGACUGUCAGAAUGGCGGGUGUACUGUUUUUUGGCGAUACAUUUAAGUACCGUAAGGUACAAUUUUUUUUAAAGGAGGUACUAAAUAAUUCAAAUCAGGUACAAAAAUAUGGUAUGCUUUUUCUCAUUUAGGAACAUCCGCCGAGUCAGGAUCUCCAAAGGGGUGAUCUCCCAUAGUAAAAUUGGAAUUUAGCGCCUUUUUCUUCUGACAAGUUGGGUGUGUUUGAGUAUAAUGUAUCUAAAGUUACAGUACAUAUGGUGCUACUUUUCCGCACUAGUGCGUAUAUUAGCAAAUUAUGUAACUAUGUCGAGAAUUUAAAGGGUCAUAUGUACUGUAAAACGUUGUACGAUACAUGUGCGAAUAUGUAAUUCGCAACUCGUGUAGAUUUAAAACACUCCCUUCGGUCAUGUUUUAAUUUAUCGCCACUCGUUACGAAUUUCCUAUUUUUCGCACUUGUAUCGUAAAUAACUAUUCUAUACCAAUUUAUUACAACCAAGGAGAUUCAAUUUACAUAUAAUUACAAUCCUUUUCGAUACGAUACAAACCUCAACAAGUCGGUACGUCAUGUUGAAAAUGACGGAAGUGUCACAUUGUUUUAUUUAACGGAAAUGUGACAAUGUAAUUCAAAAUUCCGUGUAACAAAGUCACUUACCAGUGACUUUAUUUGGCAUCAAAAUUCUUGUAUUAAAUAACAUCAUGUAUCUGAGUAGCCGGAUAUUCAAAUGCAGUAAUUGCUACAAGCCGAUAGAGCGACGGUUGGGCUUGUUCCAAGCUCAGGACGACUAUGAAUGCUAUUGCGACAGCUACGUCAAGUGUUUCUGGGGGUUGUGUGAUGUGCGGCAUGACAGCAAGGAGUGUCUCCGACCAAAGCCUGAUGGCCAAGUAAUAACCGUUCAACCGAAAUGCAAGGUAAUACCGUGUCAAGCCUAGUCUCAGGUCAUAGUUUGUUUUUCAAAUUCUUCUAAAUGAAGAUCAUAAAUAUAAUUCAAGACUUUAUUUCAUGUGUCAUUAAAAGUAUAAUCCGAUAAACUA
Molecule: long non-coding RNA, 2889 nt
Organism: Cydia pomonella (codling moth)
Lineage: Eukaryota; Metazoa; Arthropoda; Insecta; Lepidoptera; Tortricidae
Exons: 2
Source: RefSeq, a predicted model, not a curated record